AGAAUCCCAAGAAAGCGAGCAGUGCAAGACGACCUGCAAGCAAGCAAGCAAAAAUGGUAUGAUGUUCACUGCCAACUUUGAGAAAAUGCUCACCGUUUUUCACUUCCUUCAGCUUGAACUCCUCGAACUUCUUCGGGUCCUUGGAAAAUCCAAGAGGGUCGAACGCGCCGCCGGGAUACUUGCGUUUCUCAGCGCUCGGCACGCCGAUCCUCCGCGACUCGACAAAGGCUAUGGCAACGAACUCGAUCGCAAUGAUCACUGGAAGGGUCCCCCACGGGACUGGAGUUCCAAGGUACGUGGCUUGUCCGCCAGGAGUCGCGGCCCACUGUUGUGCCUCAACCCAGUUUCCUAGUCCUAGAGCUUCCGGAAUGAGGCAUCCAGGCUGAAAGCAGCGCACAAAGCUUGAGGAUCCACACACAAUCUACGAGAAAAACGUUUCCCAGGUACUUACGACUGCCAGCAUUGCCCAUCUGCAGUGGAUGAGCUCUGACUCCUUGAAUCGUUCCAGGUUGUCGGGAACUUCUCCAAGUCCCAGUGGAUCGAAUCCAAAGUCACUGGAAGGACAAAGCGCUCUCACUUGUAAGCUAUGAGAAACUAGAUCUCUUGGAAGUUUAAACUCACCCAGGGGCUGAUCCGUCUAGGUAGGCUGGACGAGGCUGUCCUGGGAGCCACUCUGCGGACAUGCUGACCCUGCUUCCAUUGGAGAAUGCAGCACCGGGAGUGGUGAUGGCGCUUCCGAAAAACUUGGACUUUUGAGUUCCAGCUAGAGUUGGAGCCACAGCCGCUGCUACAAGCUGCGAA
Molecule: long non-coding RNA, 801 nt
Filed under: Selaginella moellendorffii
Lineage: Eukaryota; Viridiplantae; Streptophyta; Lycopodiopsida; Selaginellales; Selaginellaceae
Description: long non-coding RNA (SMOE_LNC001632)
Source: RNAcentral